Long non-coding RNA from Thalassophryne amazonica, 586 nucleotides. RefSeq lists it as uncharacterized. The record is from RefSeq and is a predicted model, not a curated record. Lineage: Eukaryota; Metazoa; Chordata; Actinopteri; Batrachoidiformes; Batrachoididae. The transcript is spliced from 2 exons.
CUGAUCGGAGUAAAAGACAGAAACAGAAGGGCAAUCUGAACAAACGCAGUAGAAUUCAGACAGGACAAAAGAAAUAUGGCUGUUCUGAAUGUGGUAAAAGAUUUGGACAAAAGACCAACCUGUACACACACAUGACAAUUCAUACAGGACAAAAACCAUUUGGCUGUUCUGAAUGUGGUCAGAGAUUUAGACAACAGAACCACUCAACAGACACAUGAUAAUUCAUACAGGACAAAAGCAAUUUGGCUGUUCUGAAUGUGGUCAAAAAUUUGGGCAAAAGAGCCACCUGACCACACACAUGACAAUUCAUACAGGACAAAAGCAAUUUGUCUGCUCUGAAUGUGGCCAAAGAUUUGGACAAAAGAGCCACCUGACCACACACAUGAUAAUUCAUACUGGACAAAAACCAUUUGGCUCUGUUCUGAAUGUGGUCAAAGAUUUGGACAGAAGAGCAACCUGAAUGCACACUUGAUAAUUCAUACAGGACAAAAACAAUUUGGAUGUUCUGAGUGUGGUAAAAGUUUUAGACAUAAGUGCAACCUGAACGCACACAUGAAAACUCAUAGGACAAAGAGAUCCCAGAAGG